AGCUCCAGUAGCAUAUAUUAAAGUUGUUGCAGUUAAAAAGCUCGUAGUUGGAUUUCUGGUAUGAUGCGCCUUGUCCGCAGCGAAUACGCUUGUGAGUACUGGAGCGCGUCUGCCAUCCUUCCGGGGACCGUCUCUACCUUUCACUAGGCUGGAGUCGUGAUCCGGAUCGUUUACUUUGAAAAAUUAGAGUGUUCAAAGCAGGCCUUUGCUGUGAAUACAUUAGCAUGGAAUAAUGAUCUAGGACUUCGGUUCUAUUUUGUUGGUUUCUAGCACUGGAGUAAUGAUUGAUAGGGAUAGUUGGGGGUNCUAGUA
RNAcentral lists this ribosomal RNA (312 nucleotides) under uncultured eukaryote. Its description in RNAcentral is "SSU rRNA". It matches the Rfam family "Eukaryotic small subunit ribosomal RNA", at positions 587 to 896 of the family's 1831-position model. The record is from RNAcentral.